UAGUUCAGCACUAAGUCACUUUGUCUUAAUGGCAAAUGUGAGAUGCAGUGUAUGGAAUGUCAAAUUUCUAGUAUGAGAAAUUAACGAUUUAAGUCCUUCUUAAAUGAGGCCAUUUACCCAAAGAGGGUGCCAGGCCCGUAUAACGUUAAUGAUUACUAGAUGGCAUUUCCAAAGAGUCGUGUUGCUUGAUAGUGCAGCACUAAGUGGGUGGUAAACUCCAUCUAAAACUAAAUAUAACCAUGAGACCGAUAGUAAACAAGUACCGUGAGGGAAAGUUGAAAAGAACUCUGAAUAGAGAGUUAAAUAGUACGUGAAACUGCUUAGAGGUUAAGCCCGAUGAACCUGAAUAUCCAUUAUAGAAAAUUCAUCAUUAUGAUUUUAAUAUUUAUAAUAUUAUAAUAAUGGUGUGCAUUUUUUCUAUAAAAGGACAUUGUAAUCUAUUAACAUCAAAUAUUUAUCAAAAGAUCAAUUGCAAAUGUUUAUUCAAAUUAUUUUGCUUGCAAUUUAACAUAGAAUAAAUGCUUUUGAUUUGAUAAAGUGUUGAUAGAUUUAUUAUAUAUAGUGCUUGAAUAUUUAUAUUCUAUAAUAGCAUAUUAAUCAUUGAUUUUUAUGUUUAUUAUAUGCACUUAUAUGAUUAACAAUGCGAAAGAUUCAGGAUACCUUCGGGACCCGUCUUGAAACACGGACCAAGGAGUCUAACAUAUUUGCAAGUUAUUGGGAAUAAAAACCUAAUAGCGAAAUUAACAUAACUUAUUUAAUGGGAUUAAUUUUUAGCCUAUUUUUAUAGUCUAUUAAUUCAAUCCCGGGGCGUUCUAUAUAGUUAUGUAUAAUAAUAUUUAUAUUAUUUAUACCUCUAACUAGAGCGUACCUUGAGCAUAUAUGCUGUGACCCGAAAGAUGGUGAACUAUACUUGAUCAGGUUGAAGUCAGGGGAAACCCUGAUGGAAGACCGAAA
Molecule: ribosomal RNA, 954 nt
Filed under: Cochliomyia aldrichi
Lineage: Eukaryota; Metazoa; Arthropoda; Insecta; Diptera; Calliphoridae
Description: eukaryotic LSU rRNA
Rfam family: Eukaryotic large subunit ribosomal RNA
Source: RNAcentral